AAGCAGUGACAGCUGCUUCCACAUCCUGAUACUCACACUGUAGCUCAGGCAUUGCAACCCUCCAAGUGAGACAGAUCCACUAAGUUUCAUUUGAGUAAGGUCCUUUGCUGCCAGCAUGAUGUCGUAUUUAUAAUAUGUGGAGGAGAGAGAGCUCACCAUGCUCAGAAGCCUCUGGUAUGUCAGAACCAUGCUGUCUUCCAUGGGACUUCCUUUGUGAAGAGCAUCCAUUUAAAAGACUUUUAUGAAUACAUGGUUUCAAUCAAGUCCCCAAAGAACACAUUUGUCUUCUGAGCUGCUGGCAGUUUUGAGCUGAAGUUGUAGAAACUCACAGAAACAUAUGUUAGAGUGGGAAGUUGCAUAUCAACUCAUCCAGUCUUUUCCAAAGUAUGUCAAUAAAUAUUACCUGAAAGAAAAGAAGAGGGAGAGUCUGUAGUCAAGUAAGUUUGUAUAAUGGAAGGUAAAACAAAAUGGGACAGACACCUUGAAUAUACUCAUAUGUGUUUCAAAG
This 508-nucleotide long non-coding RNA is filed under the name Pongo abelii (Sumatran orangutan). RNAcentral describes it as "lncRNA (ENSPPYG00000033230.1)". Lineage: Eukaryota; Metazoa; Chordata; Mammalia; Primates; Hominidae. The record is from RNAcentral.